AAACGUACAAAAUCAGCAGGGGAUCAAAUACUUUUUCCCCUCACUGUAUGUAAGUGUAGAUGUGAUUGAACAGGGUUUGCAGUAAUCAGGCCUGGUUACAUCUAGUCCAGCUGAACCCCAUUAUCAAUGCAGUUUCAUAGAUUUGGGGCAUUAGUAACUAUGGGGGCAAAUACAUGUUCACACCAGCCCAGUUGGUAUUGGAUAAGUUUUUGCUUCAAUAAAUAACAUUAUCUUUUAAAAACUGUAUUUUUUGUUUUCUCAGGUUGCCUUUGUUUGAUCUUAUAAUUUUGUUUUAAUUUCGAAAACAAUUUAGUACAAGAUAUAAACAUAAACAGAAGAAAUCAGGAUGGGGCAAAUACUUUUUCACAGCACUGUAGGUGUUUGCUAGGGUGUUGCUAGUGGACACUAUGACAUUCGAUGUGGUUGCAAGAGUAUUGGUAGGGUGUUGCUAGGGUAUCCCAGUUGGUUGCUAGGGUGUUGAUGGGUGGUUGCUAUGCAAUCCCAGGUGGUUGCUGUGGAAUUUCAGUUGGUUGCUAGGGUUUUGAUAAAUAGUUACUGUUGUAUUCUAGCUGGUUGCUAGGGUGUUGGUAAGUGGUUGCUAUGAUAUUCUAGGUGGUUGGUAGGGUUUGAUAGGUGGUUGCUGUGGCAUUUCAGUUGGUUGCUAGGGUUGGUUGCAUUUUAGUUGGUUACUAGGUAGUUGCUAUGGUGUUUUGGGUGGUUGCUAGGGUGUUUCUAGGUGGUUGCAAUGGUAUUCCAGAUGGUUGCUAGGGUGUUGCUAGGUGGUUGCUAUGGUAUUCCAGAUGGUUGCUAGGAUGUUGCUAGGUGAUUGAUAUAUCCAUUCCAUGUGGUUGUGUUGCGUUUGCUAGGUGGCUUCUGUGGUAUUCCAGGUGGUUGCUAGGUCUUAGCUAGGUGGUUGCUAUGGAAUCUUAGCUACAAAUAAACACACUAACAACAAUCUGUCAUAUUCCAGGGAGUGACUAAGGUGUUAGUAGGAAGAAAAUUGCAGUUCUUUUUCAUUUCUACUGACCGCCAG
This is a long non-coding RNA of Ictalurus punctatus (channel catfish), 1033 nucleotides long. The record is from Ensembl. NCBI's taxonomy places the organism in Eukaryota, Metazoa, Chordata, Actinopteri, Siluriformes, Ictaluridae.